This 490-nucleotide ribosomal RNA is filed under the name uncultured bacterium. RNAcentral describes it as "bacterial SSU rRNA". It matches the Rfam family "Bacterial small subunit ribosomal RNA", at positions 30 to 507 of the family's 1533-position model. The record is from RNAcentral.
AUUGAACGCUGGCGGCAGGCCUAACACAUGCAAGUCGAACGGCAGCGGGGGGAAGCUUGCUUCCCCGCCGGCGAGUGGCGGACGGGUGAGUAAUGCCUGGGGAGCUGCCCAAUGGAGGGGGAUACCAGUUGGAAACGACUGCUAAUACCGCAUACGCCUCGAGGGGGAAAGAUGGGGAUUUUUGGACCUAUCGCGAUUGGAUGCACCCCGGUGGGAUUAGCUAGUUGGUGAGGUAACGGCUCACCAAGGCGACGAUCUCUAGCUGGUUUGAGAGGAUGACCAGCCCCCCUGGAACUGAGACACGGUCCAGACUCCUUCGGGAGGCAGCAGUGGGGAAUAUUGCACAAUGGGGGAAACCCUGAUGCAGCCCUGCCGCGUGUGUGAAGAAGGCCUUCGGGUUGUAAAGCACUUUCAGCGAGGAGGAAAGGUGGCUAGCUAAUACCUAGUUGCUGUGACGUUACUCGCAGAAGAAGCCCCGGCUAACUCCGUG